Molecule: long non-coding RNA, 369 nt
Organism: Nomascus leucogenys (northern white-cheeked gibbon)
Lineage: Eukaryota; Metazoa; Chordata; Mammalia; Primates; Hylobatidae
Exons: 3
Source: RefSeq, a predicted model, not a curated record
CGAUAGGCGGCUUUGGGGUCGCCCCAGGAGUCCAGCUGCGAGAGACCAAUGGGAUUUGAAAAUGGCCUUGAUGAUUCAGACGGCCGUGACGUCAGCGGGGUCAAGUUGUCGGCAGGCGGAGCGCGCAGAGUGGAGUAACAGCGCCACCUAGCAGCUGCCUCGGGGGAAUAUUCCGGGAAAGAAAGAGGGAACCUGCGGAGCGUCGGUCAGUUUGGAGGAGUCACCUAUCACACGGGAAACCAGCACACAAGACGCAACAAAACCCGACCCAGAGAAGCGUCCUUUACAGAGCGCAUGGGCUGGGGAGCAUGUUUGAAAGAAGACAGACCAGUCUAUUUUUGUGGUUGUUUUUAAAUAAAAGGAAGAAAU